GCCAUGGGUAAGGGAUGAGACCCACAUCAACAUUGUGGUCAUUGGCCAUGUCAACGAGCAGGGAGCGGAAGACGCAGCCAGUGACCAGCGAGUGCAUGGGUGGCGCAAGUGGCAACGAAGAGUGGCCAGAGACUACUAGUGGUGAGCGGCGAUGGAGACCUCGAGACCAGCAAGUAGGCGAAAGCGAUCUCAUUGUGAAGUGGCUGAAUCGACUUAGGCGGUUUCUUCGAAAUUCUUGGAAAUGCUUUGGUUAGUGAGCAGCAUUAGGAGGAGGAGCUCAAGCAGGCCACCAUGAUGCACCACCGCAGUAGCAGAUGCCGGGCUUUCUUGCUUCUUCAUGAGCAUCAGGACAAAGAAGUCGGUGGAAGAGUAGUUCUAGCUCAUUGGAUCUAGUUCUGAGAGUAAUGAAGCCCUUUAUGCUGCUCCUAUUUGUAUGUGUGUUAUAUGAUGUAGCAGAAUCUGGCUCAUGUGAUUAUACACUUGUGGAGCUUGUUAUCUGAUUGUAAACUUGAUGCUAUCACAUUUGUAUGUGUGUUAUAUGAUGUAACACUUUGAUGGUUGAUAAUAUUUGAAAUA
This is a long non-coding RNA of Triticum dicoccoides, 576 nucleotides long. RefSeq lists it as uncharacterized. Lineage: Eukaryota; Viridiplantae; Streptophyta; Magnoliopsida; Poales; Poaceae. The record is from RefSeq and is a predicted model, not a curated record. The transcript is spliced from 3 exons.